GACGAACGCUGGCGGCGUGCUUAACACAUGCAAGUCGAACGGAAAGGCCCUGCUUUUGUGGGGUGCUCGAGUGGCGAACGGGUGAGUAACACGUGAGUAACCUGCCCUUUACUUUGGGAUAACUUCAGGAAACUGGGGCUAAUACCGGAUAGGAGCUCCUGCUGCAUGGUGGGGGUUGGAAAGUUUCGGCGGUUGGGGAUGGACUCGCGGCUUAUCAGCUUGUUGGUGGGGUAGUGGCUUACCAAGGCUUUGACGGGUAGCCGGCCUGAGAGGGUGACCGGCCACAUUGGGACUGAGAUACGGCCCAGACUCCUACGGGAGGCAGCAGUGGGGAAUAUUGCACAAUGGGCGGAAGCCUGAUGCAGCAACGCCGCGUGCGGGAUGACGGCCUUCGGGUUGUAAACCGCUUUCGCCUGUGACGAAGCGUGAGUGACGGUAAUGGGUAAAGAAGCACCGGCUAACUACGCG
This 468-nucleotide ribosomal RNA is filed under the name uncultured bacterium. RNAcentral describes it as "partial 16S ribosomal RNA". It matches the Rfam family "Bacterial small subunit ribosomal RNA", at positions 28 to 507 of the family's 1533-position model. The record is from RNAcentral.